RNAcentral lists this ribosomal RNA (301 nucleotides) under uncultured bacterium. RNAcentral describes it as "partial 16S ribosomal RNA". It matches the Rfam family "Bacterial small subunit ribosomal RNA", at positions 509 to 807 of the family's 1533-position model. The record is from RNAcentral.
CAGCAGCCACGGUAACACGUAGGGUGCGAGCGUUAAUCGGAAUUACUGGGCGUAAAGCGUGCGCAGGCGGUUGUGUAAGACAGGUGUGAAAUCCCCGGGCUUAACCUGGGAGCUGCGCUUGUGACUGCACAGCUAGAGUAUGGCAGAGGGGGGUGGAAUUCCACGUGUAGCAGUGAAAUGCGUAGAGAUGUGGAGGAACACCGAUGGCGAAGGCAGCCCCCUGGGCCAAUACUGACGCUCAUGCACGAAAGCGUGGGGAGCAAACAGGAUUAGAUACCCCCGUAGUCCCUGUCUCUUAUAC